GAGUUUGAUCGUGGCUCAGAUUGAACGCUGGCGGCAUGCCUUACACAUGCAAGUCGAACGGCAGCAUGAUCUAGCUUGCUAGAUUGAUGGCGAGUGGCGAACGGGUGAGUAAUACAUCGGAACGUGCCCUGUAGUGGGGGAUAACUAGUCGAAAGAUUAGCUAAUACCGCAUACGACCUGAGGGUGAAAGUGGGGGACCGCAAGGCCUCAUGCUAUAGGAGCGGCCGAUGUCUGAUUAGCUAGUUGGUGGGGUAAAGGCCCACCAAGGCGACGAUCAGUAGCUGGUCUGAGAGGACGAUCAGCCACACUGGGACUGAGACACGGCCCAGACUCCUACGGGAGGCAGCAGUGGGGAAUUUUGGACAAUGGGCGAAAAGCCUGAUCCAGCAAUGCCGCGUGUGUGAAGAAGGCCUCGGUUGUAAGU
RNAcentral lists this ribosomal RNA (424 nucleotides) under uncultured microorganism. Its description in RNAcentral is "bacterial SSU rRNA". It matches the Rfam family "Bacterial small subunit ribosomal RNA", at positions 9 to 430 of the family's 1533-position model. The record is from RNAcentral.